GUACUCCCCAGGCGGAGUGCUUAUUGUGUUUACUUCGGCACUGAGUAUCGCUACCCAACACCUAGCACUCAUCGUUUACAGCGUGGACUACCAGGGUAUCUAAUCCUGUUUGCUACCCACGCUUUCGUGACUCAGCGUCAGUUACAGUCCAGUAAGUCGCCUUCGCCACUGGUGUUCCUCCUAAUAUCUACGCAUUUCACCGCUACACUAGGAAUUCCACUUACCUCUCCUGCACUCAAGUUGUACAGUUUCAAAUGCUAACUAUGGUUAAGCCUUAGCCUUUUACAUCUGACACAUACAACCGCCUACUCACCCUUUACGCCCAGUAAAUCCGGACAACGCUCGCCCCCUACGUAUUACCGCGGCUGCUGGCACGUAGUUAGCCGGGGCUUCCUCCUUGGCUACCGUCAUUUCUUUCUUCACCAAGGACAGAGUUUUACGAUCCGAAGACCUUCUUCACUCACGCGGCGUCGCUGCAUCAGAGUUUCCUCC
Molecule: ribosomal RNA, 492 nt
Filed under: uncultured bacterium
Lineage: Bacteria
Description: partial 16S rRNA
Source: RNAcentral